Molecule: ribosomal RNA, 253 nt
Filed under: uncultured prokaryote
Description: partial 16S ribosomal RNA
Rfam family: Bacterial small subunit ribosomal RNA
Source: RNAcentral
ACGUAGGCAGCAAGCGUUGUUCGGAAUUACUGGGCGUAAAGAGUGUGUAGGCGGUGCUCCAAGUCUGGUGUGAAAUCUCCCGGCUCAACUGGGAGGGUGCGCUAGAAACUGGAAUGCUAGAGGAUGGGAGAGGUAAGCGGAAUUCCUGGUGUAGCGGUGAAAUGCGUAGAUAUCAGGAGGAACACCUGUGGUGUAGACAGCUUACUGGACCAUUUCUGACGCUGAGACACGAAAGCGUGGGUAGCAAACAGGA